Molecule: long non-coding RNA, 299 nt
Filed under: Brachypodium distachyon (stiff brome)
Lineage: Eukaryota; Viridiplantae; Streptophyta; Magnoliopsida; Poales; Poaceae
Description: long non-coding RNA (BDIS_LNC002242)
Source: RNAcentral
GCUGCGGCUCCAAAAUCGACCCUUUUACCGAAAUACCCUCCCACCAAGUCACAUAUUACGUACCAAAUGCCACAAAACGUUUCACCAUCUAUUUUCUCCCCAGGCCGCAGCCACAUCCCGAGCAGGCGAGCACCAGUCGAAAAAAAGAAAAAUCUACCUCUCGAGCGUGAUGGGGAACUAGGGUUCAGAACUCCUUCACCGGCGCCACCUCUCACCGCCGCCGCCGGCCGGCCUCCUGCUACCGCCGGCCCUUUCUCCCCGCAAGCCUUUGCUCCUACGGCCCCGACGCCUGCGGCCCC